Zeugodacus cucurbitae (melon fly) is the source of this 672-nucleotide long non-coding RNA. RefSeq lists it as uncharacterized. Lineage: Eukaryota; Metazoa; Arthropoda; Insecta; Diptera; Tephritidae. The transcript is spliced from 2 exons. The record is from RefSeq and is a predicted model, not a curated record.
AACUUCCUAAAAUAUUCAAUAGAAAAUUUUAAUAUUUAAACAUUAAAUAACUUUUUUUGUUAGAAGUUUUUUUUUUACAAAAUACGUAUUAUAACAAAUUUUGAAGCCAUGUAUAUACAUAUUAUGUUGGAGCAUUGCAAUGAUUUAUCAUUGGCUUUCAUAUAUCAUUCGGUUUUUGGCACCUGGUAUUAACUCCAACUAAUUUCUAACUAAUAAAUUUUUGCUGGGGUGGCGUUAGCACCGAUCUUCGGUAAGUAAUGCAAUCUUAUUACAAUAGGUCACUUAUAAUAUAUAAAAAACAAAAUAUGAACAAUAUAUCAUAAACUCACCGUUUUGAUUUCCCGGAUAGUACAAUUGAUGGGCACUACAGUUAGAAUAAGAAUUCCAUUUGGCAUAAGGCAGCUGAUUUCGGCGCGUUCUGGCACCUCAUUCCUCCAAAAAUCGAUGGAGUCCGUAGGGCAAGAGAGAGGAGCCAUUCUUGUGCCCUAUGUCCCGUAUUUCCAAAUAAUAUUUGCUCCGAUCAACUUUGAUAAUCUCUUUAUGAUCAGUUAAUAUAAGUAGUAUUUAUACCACCGUCUGUUAUUGAUAAAUCAUAUGAACGCUAAGGUUUAAUCAAUCUCAGUUGUCUUUAUAACGGCUAAAUUCCCUUUAUGCAAGGACUGUGAAUACUUC